RNAcentral lists this ribosomal RNA (253 nucleotides) under uncultured bacterium. RNAcentral describes it as "partial 16S ribosomal RNA". It matches the Rfam family "Bacterial small subunit ribosomal RNA", at positions 524 to 776 of the family's 1533-position model. The record is from RNAcentral.
UACGUAGGGGGCUAGCGUUGUCCGGAAUCAUUGGGCGUAAAGAGCGUGUAGGCGGCCCGGUAAGUCCGCUGUGAAAGUCCAGGGCUCAACCCUGGGAUGCCGGUGGAUACUGUCGGGCUCGAGUCCGGAAGAGGCGAGUGGAAUUCCUGGUGUAGCGGUGAAAUGCGCAGAUAUCAGGAGGAACACCAAUGGCGAAGGCAGCCUUCUGGGCCAAUACUGACGCUCAUGCACGAAAGCGUGGGGAGCAAACAGG